This 465-nucleotide ribosomal RNA is filed under the name Vreelandella stevensii. Its description in RNAcentral is "partial 16S ribosomal RNA". It matches the Rfam family "Bacterial small subunit ribosomal RNA", at positions 338 to 795 of the family's 1533-position model. The record is from RNAcentral. Lineage: Bacteria; Pseudomonadati; Pseudomonadota; Gammaproteobacteria; Oceanospirillales; Halomonadaceae.
CCUACGGGGGGCAGCAGUGGGGAAUAUUGGACAAUGGGGGGAACCCUGAUCCAGCCAUGCCGCGUGUGUGAAGAAGGCCCUCGGGUUGUAAAGCACUUUCAGUGAGGAAGAACGCCUGGUGGUUAAUACCCAUCAGGAAAGACAUCACUCACAGAAGAAGCACCGGCUAACUCCGUGCCAGCAGCCGCGGUAAUACGGAGGGUGCGAGCGUUAAUCGGAAUUACUGGGCGUAAAGCGCGCGUAGGUGGCUUGAUAAGCCGGUUGUGAAAGCCCCGGGCUCAACCUGGGAACGGCAUCCGGAACUGUCAAGCUAGAGUGCAGGGGAGGAAGGUAGAAUUCCCGGUGUAGCGGUGAAAUGCGUAGAGAUCGGGAGGAAUACCAGUGGCGAAGGCGGCCUUCUGGACUGACACUGACACUGAGGUGCGAAAGCGUGGGUAGCAAACAGGAUUAGAUACCCCUGUAGUC